RNAcentral lists this long non-coding RNA (258 nucleotides) under Brassica rapa (field mustard). Its description in RNAcentral is "long non-coding RNA (BRAP_LNC007945)". The record is from RNAcentral. Lineage: Eukaryota; Viridiplantae; Streptophyta; Magnoliopsida; Brassicales; Brassicaceae.
AUUUCCCUAAAAAUAAAAGCAAUCUGCUCAGCCAACCACAUCGCAACACGUGGCACGGUGGCCCACAAAAAAUUUUCUUUUAGCUGUUGAAACUAUACAACGCUUGUUGAUGCCACAUCAUUGUACACAGGUUUACAACACUCUCAUUGUAUGGGAUUAAACAGUUGACAGAGAGUUUCCACACCCUCAUUUCACAUGGUCUAAGACUAUGUACAAUAGAUUCAACACACAACACCCUCCACAUCAUCUUCUCUUUCU